AACAGGAUUAGAUACCCUGGUAGUCCACGCCCUAAACGAUGAUAACUCGAUGUUGGCGAUACACAGUCAGCGUCUAAGCGAAAGCAUUAAGUUAUCCACCUGGGAAGUACGACCGCAAGGUUGAAACUCAAAGGAAUUGACGGGGGCCCGCACAAGCGGAGGAGCAUGUGGUUUAAUUCGAUGAUACGCGAGGAACCUUACCUGGGCUUGAAAGUUAGUGACGGUCCCUGAAAGGGGAUCUUCCGCAAGGACACGAAACUAGGUGCUGCAUGGCUGUCGUCAGCUCGUGCCGUGAGGUGUUGGGUUAAGUCCCGUAACGAGCGCAACCCCUAUCAUUAGUUGCCACCAGGUUAAGCUGGGGACUCUAAUGAGACUGCCCGCGCAAGCGGUGAGGAAGGUGGGGAUGACGUCAAGUCAUCACGGCCCUUACGUCCAGGGCUACACACGUGCUACAAUGGUAGAUACAGCAGGUUGCCACAUGGUAACAUGGAGCUAAUCCCAAAAGUCUAUCUCAGUUCGGAUUGAGGUCUGCAACUCGACCUCAUGAAGCUGGAUUCGCUAGUAAUCGGAAAUCAGCAAUGUUCCGGUGAAUACGUUCCCGGGCCUUGUACACACCGCCCGUCAAGCCAUGGAAGUCGGGGGUACCUGAAGUCGAUAACCGUAAGGAGUCGCCUAGGGUAAAACCGAUGACUGGGGCUAAGUCGUAACAAGGUAACC
Molecule: ribosomal RNA, 717 nt
Filed under: uncultured bacterium
Lineage: Bacteria
Description: bacterial SSU rRNA
Rfam family: Bacterial small subunit ribosomal RNA
Source: RNAcentral